GACUCGUUAGUUCAGUGGGAGAACGCUUGCUUGACAGGCAAGAGGUCACUGGUUCAAAUCCAGUACGGGUCA
Molecule: transfer RNA, 72 nt
Filed under: Cytobacillus praedii
Lineage: Bacteria; Bacillati; Bacillota; Bacilli; Caryophanales; Bacillaceae
Description: tRNA-Val
Rfam family: tRNA
About the family: Transfer RNA (tRNA) molecules are approximately 80 nucleotides in length. Their secondary structure includes four short double-helical elements and three loops (D, anti-codon, and T loops).
Source: RNAcentral